Molecule: transfer RNA, 92 nt
Filed under: Macrolepiota fuliginosa MF-IS2
Lineage: Eukaryota; Fungi; Basidiomycota; Agaricomycetes; Agaricales; Agaricaceae
Rfam family: tRNA
About the family: Transfer RNA (tRNA) molecules are approximately 80 nucleotides in length. Their secondary structure includes four short double-helical elements and three loops (D, anti-codon, and T loops). Further hydrogen bonds mediate the characteristic L-shaped molecular structure. tRNAs have two regions of fundamental functional importance: the anti-codon, which is responsible for specific mRNA codon recognition, and the 3' end, to which the tRNAs corresponding amino acid is attached (by aminoacyl-tRNA synthetases). tRNAs cope with the degeneracy of the genetic code in two manners: having more than one tRNA (with a specific anti-codon) for a particular amino acid; and 'wobble' base-pairing, i.e. permitting non-standard base-pairing at the 3rd anti-codon position.
Source: Rfam by way of RNAcentral
GCCCGCCUAGCUCAAUCGGAUAGAGCGUCAGACUCUUAAUCCUUAGGCGUGCGGGAAUCUGAAGGCUGCGAGUUCGACCCUCGCGGUGGGCU